This 492-nucleotide ribosomal RNA is filed under the name uncultured bacterium. Its description in RNAcentral is "partial 16S ribosomal RNA". It matches the Rfam family "Bacterial small subunit ribosomal RNA", at positions 29 to 507 of the family's 1533-position model. The record is from RNAcentral.
AGUGAACGCUGGCGGUAGGCCUAACACAUGCAAGUCGAACGGCAGCACAGUAAGAGCUUGCUCUUACGGGUGGCGAGUGGCGGACGGGUGAGGAAUACAUCGGAAUCUACUUUUUCGUGGGGGAUAACGUAGGGAAACUUACGCUAAUACCGCAUACGACCUACGGGUGAAAGCAGGGGAUCUUCGGACCUUGCGCGAUUGAAUGAGCCGAUGUCGGAUUAGCUAGUUGGCGGGGUAAAGGCCCACCAAGGCGACGAUCCGUAGCUGGUCUGAGAGGAUGAUCAGCCACACUGGAACUGAGACACGGUCCAGACUCCUACGGGAGGCAGCAGUCGGGAAUAUUGGACAAUGGGCGCAAGCCUGAUCCAGCCGUACCGCGUGGGUGAAGAAGGCCUUCGGGUUGUAAAGCCCUUUUGUUGGGAAAGAAAAGCAGCAGGUUAAUACCCCGCUGUUCUGACGGUACCCAAAGAAUAAGCACCGGCUAACUUCGUG